CACUCCUGCGGGAGGCAGCAGUGGGGAAUUUUGGACAAUGGGCGAAAGCCUGAUCCAGCCAUGCCGCGUGAGUGAAGAAGGCCUUCGGGUUGUAAAGCUCUUUUGUCAGGGAAGAAACGGUGAAAGCUAAUAUCUUUUGCUAAUGACGGUACCUGAAGAAUAAGCACCGGCUAACUACGUGCCAGCAGCCGCGGUAAUACGUAGGGUGCAAGCGUUAAUCGGAAUUACUGGGCGUAAAGCGUGCGCAGGCGGUUUUGUAAGUCUGAUGUGAAAUCCCCGGGCUCAACCUGGGAAUUGCAUUGGAGACUGCAAGGCUAGAAUCUGGCAGAGGGGGGUAGAAUUCCAUGUGUAGCAGUGAAAUGCGUAGAUAUGUGGAGGAACACCGAUGGCGAAGGCAGCCCCCUGGGUCAAGAUUGACGCUCAUGCACGAAAGCGUGGGGAGCAAACAGGAUUAGAAACCCCAGUAGUCCC
Molecule: ribosomal RNA, 471 nt
Filed under: uncultured organism
Description: partial 16S ribosomal RNA
Rfam family: Bacterial small subunit ribosomal RNA
Source: RNAcentral